This 497-nucleotide ribosomal RNA is filed under the name uncultured bacterium. RNAcentral describes it as "partial 16S ribosomal RNA". It matches the Rfam family "Bacterial small subunit ribosomal RNA", at positions 28 to 507 of the family's 1533-position model. The record is from RNAcentral.
GACGAACGCUGGCGGCGUGCCUAAUACAUGCAAGUUGAGCGCUGAAGGUUGGUACUUGUACCUACUGGAUGAGCAGCGCACGGGUGAGUAACGCGUGGGGAAUCUGCCUUUGAGCGGGGGACAACAUUUGGAAACGAAUGCUAAUACCGCAUAAAAACUUUAAACACAAGUUUUAAGUUUGAAAGAUGCAAUUGCAUCACUCAAACAUGAUCCCGCGUUGUAUUAGCUAGUUGGUGAGGUAAAGGCUCACCAAGGCGAUGAUACAUAGGCGACCUGAGAGGGUGAACGGCCAACAUGGGAACGGGACAAGGCCCAAACUCCUACGGGAGGCAGCAGGAGGGAAACUUCGGAAAUGGACGAAAGUCUGAACGAGCAACGCCGCGGGAGAGAAGAAGGUUCUCGGAUCGUAAAACUCCGUUGGUAGAGAAGAAAGGUGGUGAGAGUGGAAAGCUCAUCAAGUGACGGUAACUACACAGAAAGGGACGGCUAACUACGUG